This 894-nucleotide ribosomal RNA is filed under the name Triticum aestivum (bread wheat). RNAcentral's name for it is "partial small subunit ribosomal RNA". Lineage: Eukaryota; Viridiplantae; Streptophyta; Magnoliopsida; Poales; Poaceae. The record is from RNAcentral.
AUGAAGAUUGAUAUGAUGAAGGCAUAUGAUCGUGUCGAGUGGAGUUAUCUUCAUGGAUGCCUCUCUAAGCUUGGUUUUAAUCCGGCGUGGAUCAGCUCGGUGAUGAGAUGUGUGACCAAUGUCAGAUAUGUUGUAAGAGUCAAUGCUGAGCUUACUACUCCGAUUAUUCCCUCGAAGGGGAUCCGUCAAGGAGACCCAAUAAGCCCCUACUUGUUUCUUUUGUGCACUGAAGGCCUGUCAAGUCUGUUACUUCAAAAGGAGAAUGGUGGUGUGCUACAUGGUAUUAGGAACGGUCGGUCCGGUCCACCCAUCUCACAUCUCCUUUUCGCCGAUGACAGCAUCUUCUUUGCAAAAAGUGACACACAUAGUGUGGAAGCUUUGGAAUCUACCCUCACACUCUAUUGCAAUGGAUCUACUCAAUUGAUCAACAAAAAUAAGUCCUCAUUGUCCUUUGGCCGUUCUUUUCCGGAAGGUGUCAAACAGCGUGUUAAAACAAGAUUGGGAAUAUCAAAUGAAUCUCUAAUGACACAUACCUUGGUAUGCCCACUCAGAUUUUUGGAAUGCUUCUGCGUCAAAUCUGCGUCUGCUACUUGGCGUGGCAUCCUUGCCGGCCGUGAGAUUUUGAAGCAUGGUGUUAGAGGGGGUAUUAGUGAUGGCAAGAAUAUUAUGACGAAUCACUGGAUUCCAUCGAAUCCUCCAAAUAUGCUUCAGCUGUCCUCACCUAUUCCUAUAAAUGCUAAGGUUCAUUGCCUUCUUGACGAGGACAAUUGCACAUGGAAUGAGGAAACAAUGCGUGCCUUUUUUACUGAUGAUGUUGCUUCAAAGAUUCUUCUUUUACCCAUUAGUAAACAUGGAGGCAAUGAUUUUGCUUACUCCAUUCACUCGAUAUGGUGA